CAGGAUGAACGCUAGCUACAGGCUUAACACAUGCAAGUCGAGGGGCAUCAUGGAGUUUGCUGCAAACUCUGAUGGCGACCGGCGCACGGGUGAGUAACGCGUAUCCAACCUUCCCUAUAGUAGAGGAUAGCCCGGCGAAAGUCGGAUUAAUACUCUAUGUUUUCCGUUGCAGACAUCUAAGAUGGAACAAAGGCUUGCCGCUAUAGGAUGGGGAUGCGUCUGAUUAGGUAGUCGGCGGGGUAACGGCCCACCGAGCCUUCGAUCAGUAGGGGUUCUGAGAGGAAGGUCCCCCACAUUGGAACUGAGACACGGUCCAAACUCCUACGGGAGGCAGCAGUGAGGAAUAUUGGUCAAUGGGCGCGAGCCUGAACCAGCCAAGUAGCGUGCCAGGAUGACGGCCCUAUGGGUUGUAAACUGCUUUUAUGCGGGGAUAAAGUUCACUACGUGUAGUGUUUUGUAGGUACCGCAUGAAUAAGGACCGGCUAAUUCCGUGCCAGCAGCUGC
Molecule: ribosomal RNA, 504 nt
Filed under: uncultured bacterium
Lineage: Bacteria
Description: bacterial SSU rRNA
Rfam family: Bacterial small subunit ribosomal RNA
Source: RNAcentral